Molecule: non-coding RNA, 305 nt
Filed under: Streptomyces afghaniensis 772
Lineage: Bacteria; Bacillati; Actinomycetota; Actinomycetes; Kitasatosporales; Streptomycetaceae
Description: Bacterial large subunit ribosomal RNA
Rfam family: Bacterial large subunit ribosomal RNA
Source: Rfam by way of RNAcentral
GGCCAAGUUUUUAAGGGCGCACGGUGGAUGCCUUGGCACCAGGAACCGAUGAAGGACGUGGGAGGCCACGAUAGUCCCCGGGGAGUCGUCAACCAGGCUUUGAUCCGGGGGUUUCCGAAUGGGGAAACCCGGCAGUCGUCAUGGGCUGUCACCCGCUGCUGAACACAUAGGCAGUGUGGAGGGAACGCGGGGAAGUGAAACAUCUCAGUACCCGCAGGAAGAGAAAACAACCGUGAUUCCGGGAGUAGUGGCGAGCGAAACCGGAUGAGGCCAAACCGUAUGCGUGUGAGACCCGGCAGGGGUUG